GCAUUGAUGGUUCAGUGGUAGAAUUCUCACCUUCCAUGUGGGAGCCCUGGAUUUGAAUCCCGGCCAAUGCA
Molecule: transfer RNA, 71 nt
Filed under: Loxodonta africana (African savanna elephant)
Lineage: Eukaryota; Metazoa; Chordata; Mammalia; Proboscidea; Elephantidae
Rfam family: tRNA
About the family: Transfer RNA (tRNA) molecules are approximately 80 nucleotides in length. Their secondary structure includes four short double-helical elements and three loops (D, anti-codon, and T loops).
Source: Rfam by way of RNAcentral